CCUACGGGGUGCUGCAGUGGGGAAUAUUGGACAAUGGGCGAAAGCCUGAUCCAGCCAUGCCGCGUGUGUGAAGAAGGCCUUCGGGUUGUAAAGCACUUUCAGUGGGGAAGAAAGCCUUGGGGCUAAUACCCUCGAGGAAGGACAUCACCCACAGAAGAAGCACCGGCUAACUCCGUGCCAGCAGCCGCGGUAAUACGGAGGGUGCGAGCGUUAAUCGGAAUUACUGGGCGUAAAGCGCGCGUAGGCGGUCUGAUAAGCCGGUUGUGAAAGCCCCGGGCUCAACCUGGGAACGGCAUCCGGAACUGUCAGGCUAGAGUGCAGGAGAGGAAGGUAGAAUUCCCGGUGUAGCAGUGAAAUGCGUAGAGAUCGGGAGGAAUACCAGUGGCGAAGGCGGCCUUCUGGACUGACACUGACGCUGAGGUGCGAAAGCGUGGGUAGCAAACAGGAUUAGAUACCCCGGUAGUC
RNAcentral lists this ribosomal RNA (465 nucleotides) under Vreelandella stevensii. RNAcentral's name for it is "partial 16S ribosomal RNA". It matches the Rfam family "Bacterial small subunit ribosomal RNA", at positions 338 to 795 of the family's 1533-position model. Lineage: Bacteria; Pseudomonadati; Pseudomonadota; Gammaproteobacteria; Oceanospirillales; Halomonadaceae. The record is from RNAcentral.